UAGUGGAAAGAGUAGAUAGCCAUUCCUUUCUUUUCUGUUUCAGACUGCAGUGCCGGUGCCCCCGGAGGAGAGGAAAGAAAGGCCGAGUUGAGCAAGACUGCAUUGAAGACUGCAGUGCCGGUGCCCCCGGAGGAGAGGAAAGAAAGGCCGAGUUGAGCAAGACUGCAUUGAAGACUGCAGUGCCGGUGCCCCCGGAGGAGAGGAAAGAAAGGCCGAGUUGAGCAAGACUGCAUUGAAGACUGCAGUGCCGGUGCCCCCGGAGGAGAGGAAAGAAAGGCCGAGUUGAGCAAGACUGCAUUGAAGACUGCAGUGCCGGUGCCCCCGGAGGAGAGGAAAGAAAGGCCGAGUUGAGCAAGACUGCAUUGAAGACUGCAGUGCCGGUGCCCCCGGAGGAGAGGAAAGAAAGGCCGAGUUGAGCAAGACUGCAUUGAAGACUGCAGUGCCGGUGCCCCCGGAGGAGAGGAAAGAAAGGCCGAGUUGAGCAAGACUGCAUUGAAGACUGCAGUGCCGGUGCCCCCGGAGGAGAGGAAAGAAAGGCCGAGUUGAGCAAGACUGCAUUGAAGGUGAGUACCGCUUGUGUUGUGUGUACUUUCUCUCCGUCGCUAGGGCGGCGUUCGAGAAUCGCGUUCCAGUGGCGGAGCGCGGUUCGCGAACACCAUUGUCGAGUGGGCCAGGCCGCGGUUGUUGUUGUAUAGGUCUGAAAGUGAAAGUGAGCGGUUGCGUUGUGGCGACGUCACGUGUGUUUUGCCGCAAAACGGGGCCGAGGUGAGAGAGGGUGUCGCGAGAGGGGCUGCGGUGUGUCGUCGGGAAGUAGUGCGGGUCGCAUGUUGUGCCGAAAGGAAGGAAAACGGGGCGGGAUUGGCACUGGAUCAACAAACAACUGGGUUAGAGGUGUCCGCUAUCCUGCGGCGGCGGAAUGGGAAGUCGUUGGCGACUGUUGGUGCUCCACGGGCCGGGGCCGGCCCGCCCCGGGGUGGGGCGCUAGCGGUCACGGUCAUCGUUAUCGCUUCUCGGCCUUUUGGCUAAGAUCAAGUGUAGUAUCUGUUCUUAUCAGUUUAAUCUCUGAUACAUUCCCCAUCGGGGAAUCUAGAUUAAAUUGAUUUUUGAAAGUUGGUCAUGGAAUAAGAGCUUGCUCUGUCCUGACCGCGGAUCGGCUCGGUAUUGCAGUACCUCCGAGAUCGGUCCAU
Long non-coding RNA from Branchiostoma floridae (Florida lancelet), 1187 nucleotides. RefSeq lists it as uncharacterized. NCBI's taxonomy places the organism in Eukaryota, Metazoa, Chordata, Leptocardii, Amphioxiformes, Branchiostomatidae. The transcript has 8 exons. The record is from RefSeq and is a predicted model, not a curated record.